This 464-nucleotide long non-coding RNA is filed under the name Numida meleagris (helmeted guineafowl). Its description in RNAcentral is "lncRNA (ENSNMEG00000005845.1)". The record is from RNAcentral. Lineage: Eukaryota; Metazoa; Chordata; Aves; Galliformes; Numididae.
GUGACCACAAGUCUUCUGCAAGUGCUGAAAAGCAGUUUGCUGCCUUUGCAUCACCAGCUGUGCAGACACAUUUAGUACCAGUGCUAGAUGGAUGGUGAGCAGCUGCCUUGUGCCGAGUGGUACCUGGAGGGGAGACUGAACAUGUGGCCUUGGUCAGGAGACAUGCCUGCAUUUCACCUCUUUUGCCUCAUUUUGAUGUGUCCAAGUGGAUGGGGUCUGUCCCAGAGGUGUGGGUGGGAGAAUCGUUACAGGAAGAGCUGGGCUCUGCUUUAGGAGUUGGGAUGUGUGCUGCAGCUCUUCCUCCUGACCUAGAGCUGCCUACAAGAUGCCUCUUCUGUCCUGCCUUGUGUUGGAAGAGCCCCUUCUGGCCGUGCCCACCCCUUCUUCAUGGUGCUUUUGACACCGGCUCUGCCACACUGCUCUGGCUGAGGCAACAAGGAAGACUGCGACCUCACUUAUUUUAA